UUUUCGGACGACNCGCUGGCGGCAGGCUUAACACAUGACCAGUCGAACGCCCCGCAAGGGGAGUGGCAGACGGGUGAGUAACGCGUGGGAACAUACCCUUUCCUGCGGAAUAGCUCCGGGAAACUGGAAUUAAUACCGCAUACGCCCUACGGGGGAAAGAUUUAUCGGGGAAGGAUUGGCCCGCGUUGGAUUAGCUAGUUGGUGGGGUAAAGGCCUACCAAGGCGACGAUCCAUAGCUGGUCUGAGAGGAUGAUCAGCCACAUUGGGACUGAGACACGGCCCAAACUCCUACGGGAGGCAGCAGUGGGGAAUAUUGGACAAUGGGCGCAAGCCUGAUCCAGCCAUGCCGCGUGAGUGAUGAAGGCCUUAGGGUUGUAAAGCUCUUUCACCGGAGAAGAUAAUGACGGUAUCCGGAGAAGAAGCCCCGGCUAACUUCGUGCCAGCAGCCGCGGUAAUACGAAGGGGGCUAGCGUUGUUCGGAAUUACUGGGCGUAAAGCGCACGUAGGCGGAUAUUUAAGUCAGGGGUGAAAUCCCAGAGCUCAACUCUGGAACUGCCUUUGAUACUGGGUAUCUUGAGUAUGGAAGAGGUAAGUGGAAUUCCGAGUGUCGAGGUGAAAUUCGUAGAUAUUCGGAGGAACACCAGUGGCGAAGGCGGCUUACUGGUCCAUUACUGACCU
This 678-nucleotide ribosomal RNA is filed under the name uncultured bacterium. RNAcentral's name for it is "bacterial SSU rRNA". It matches the Rfam family "Bacterial small subunit ribosomal RNA", at positions 22 to 747 of the family's 1533-position model. The record is from RNAcentral.